RNAcentral lists this long non-coding RNA (1173 nucleotides) under Calidris pugnax (ruff). Its description in RNAcentral is "lncRNA (ENSCPUG00000013656.1)". Lineage: Eukaryota; Metazoa; Chordata; Aves; Charadriiformes; Scolopacidae. The record is from RNAcentral.
AUGCAACAAAUCCUUUUACUCCUUUAUAUCUUUUUUUACACGCAGGGGGUCGAAGCAUUUUGGGGGGGUGGGGGGGCUCACUGUGGAGCUGACAAUCACAGAAUGGUUUGGGUUGGAAGGGACCUCAAAGACCAUCCAGUUCCACCCCCCUGCCCUGGGCAGGGACACCUCCCACCAGACCAGGUUGCUCCAAGCCCCAUCCAGCCUGGCCUUGAACCCCUCCAGGGAUGGGGCACCCACAACUUCCCUGGGCAACCCCCCCCACAACCCUGCCAGGCCCAAAGCGGGGGGGCCCCGCCGGCCCUGACAGGAAUUUACUCCCUGGGGCCGGUGUCCCCCGCAGCACCCGGCUUCCCGGGGCUUGGGGACCCUUCCCCGCUCACCCGGCUACCUCCGACCCCGGGAGGGCAGAGGGAGACACCAACCGCCGGUCGCCCCCCUCUUCCUCCUCCUCCUCACCCCGUUGCCGGUGGGCGAUUCGGGACACACACACACACACCCUCCCUCCGUCACUGCGCGCUGAGGGGCGGCGGGGCCACCCCCGCCACCGGCCCUGGGCCCCCUCCAGCCGCCCACCCGGCCCUACCGGCCCGAGGAGCCCGCGCCGCCCGUUACCGCCGCGCCGCCGCGGCAGAUUCGCCACAGAAUUGGCGGGGGGAGAAAAGGGGGGGGUCCCGGCGGGCGAGGGCGGAGAAGGGAAAAGAGGGGGUACCCCUCUUAAUCCCGGCCUCGGCUCCCUUCUCUGCGGGUGGGCGCGGAGGGACGGCGGCGGCUCCGUGUGGAAAGUGCCGCCGCGGACACGCAGACACCCAGGCACCUCCUUCCCUCCCUCCGCCCGCAGCGGAUGAAAACAAACAGCGGCGGCGAUGGCGGCGGCGGUACCGAGCAGGCCGCGGCUCUGAGGACAGCGGGCAGCCAGACACCACCCCCCCUCCCGCCACCCCCGCGUCCCCACAGGCGCUGACAGCCGCGGCCCAGCCGGCAGCGAGACCGGGAGGGAGGAGGAAGAGGAGGAGGCGGAGGGGCGCUGGCCGGAGCCCCAAGGCGGCCGCGGGGCCCCUGGAGCUUGAAGAGCGGGGCCUUGGGGACCUCCUCGGUCGGGGCGCUGAGGAGACGGCGGGGGAGCGGGGCGGCGGGCCCCCCCUCGGGCAAGCGGGCCUCGGCGCGGGAUGA